CCUACGGGAGGCAGCAGUGGGGAAUAUUGGGCAAUGGACGCAAGUCUGACCCAGCAACGCCGCGUGAAGGAAGAAGGCUUUCGGGUUGUAAACUUCUUUUAAGGGGGAAGAGCAGAAGACGGUACCCCUUGAAUAAGCCACGGCUAACUACGUGCCAGCAGCCGCGGUAAUACGUAGGUGGCAAGCGUGGUCCGGAUUUACUGGGUGUAAAGGGCGUGCAGCCGGAGAGGCAAGUCAGAUGUGAAAUCCACGGGCUCAACCCGUGAACUGCAUUUGAAACUGUUUCCCUUGAGUGUCGGAGAGGUAAUCGGAAUUCCUGGUGUAGCGGUGAAAUGCGUAGAUAUAAGGAAGAACACCAGUGGCGAAGGCAGAUUACUGGACGAUAACUGACGGUGAGGCGCGAAAGCGUGGGGAGCAAACAGGAUUAGAUACCCGGGUAGUC
RNAcentral lists this ribosomal RNA (442 nucleotides) under uncultured bacterium. RNAcentral's name for it is "partial 16S ribosomal RNA". It matches the Rfam family "Bacterial small subunit ribosomal RNA", at positions 338 to 795 of the family's 1533-position model. The record is from RNAcentral.